AGACCCGAAACCCGGUGAUCUAGCCAUGGGCAGGUUGAAGGUUGGGUAACACUAACUGGAGGACCGAACCGACUAAUGUUGAAAAAUUAGCGGAUGACCUGUGGCUGGGGGUGAAAGGCCAAUCAAACCGGGAGAUAGCUGGUUCUCCCCGAAAGCUAUUUAGGUAGCGCCUCGUGAAUUCAUCUCCGGGGGUAGAGCACUGUUUCGGCUAGGGGGCCAUCCCGGCUUACCAACCCGAUGCAAACUGCGAAUACCGGAGAAUGUUAUCACGGGAGACACACGGCGGGUGCUAACGUCCGUCGUGAAGAGGGAAACAACCCAGACCGCCAGCUAAGGUCCCAAAGUCAUGGUUAAGUGGGAAACGAUGUGGGAAGGCCCAGACAGCCAGGAUGUUGGCUUAGAAGCAGCCAUCAUUUAAAGAAAGCGUAAUAGCUCACUGGUCGAGUCGGCCUGCGCGGAAGAUGUAACGGGGCUAAACCAUGCACCGAAGCUGCGGCAGCGAACGUAUCACCCAAGACAACUUUACGGAGUUGACGAUUGACGGAGCGAAGCGACGUCAAAGCGUUCAUUAAAGUCGAGUUGGCUUAGGGAUACGUUCGUUGGGUAGGGGAGCGUUCUGUAAGCCUGUGAAGGUGUGUCGUGAGGCAUGCUGGAGGUAUCAGAAGUGCGAAUGCUGACAUAAGUAACGAUAAAGCGGGUGAAAAGCCCGCUCGCCGGAAGACCAAGGGUUCCUGUCCAACGUUAAUCGGGGCAGGGUGAGUCGACCCCUAAGGCGAGGCCGAAAGGCGUAGUCGAUGGGAAACGGGUUAAUAUUCCCGUACUUGGUGUUACUGCGAAGGGGGGACGGAGAAGGCUAUGUUGGCCGGGCGACGGUUGU
This 877-nucleotide ribosomal RNA is filed under the name Salmonella enterica. RNAcentral's name for it is "partial 23S ribosomal RNA". It matches the Rfam family "Bacterial large subunit ribosomal RNA", at positions 711 to 1505 of the family's 2925-position model. Lineage: Bacteria; Pseudomonadati; Pseudomonadota; Gammaproteobacteria; Enterobacterales; Enterobacteriaceae. The record is from RNAcentral. RNAcentral also lists the same sequence under 2 other names.